Molecule: non-coding RNA, 135 nt
Organism: Triticum urartu
Lineage: Eukaryota; Viridiplantae; Streptophyta; Magnoliopsida; Poales; Poaceae
Source: Rfam
UAGAUACUCCCUCCGUUCCAAAAUUUUUGUUUUAGAUUUGUCUAAAUACAUAUAUAUCUAGUUACAUUUUAGUGUUAGAUACAUUCGUAUCUAGACAAAUCUAAGAUAAGAAUUUUGAAACGGAGAGAGUAUAUA